CCGCGGGCCGGGAAAAGGUGCGGCCCACGCCCUCCUGGGCUGCGCUGUGCGGUCGUGACGUGGGCGGUAGCCAAGGAGGGAGCGUUUCAGUGUGGGCCGCAGGACCGGCGCCAGCACCUACGCGGCCCGCUUCCCACCGUUGCUCGGCGUCUCCCCGGCGCCGGCGGCAGUUAGCGCCCCGCAGGCUCAGGCCACCUGGGUGCCUACCAUGUCCCACCGUGGAUUAGCUCUGGGACUCGGCAAGUGGCUUAACUGCUCUGUGCCUCAGUGCCCUACCUGUGGCGUGGAGUUUGGGUUUUGUUUGUUCUUUGUGUUUAAGUAGGCUCCACACCCAGCGUGGACCGCGACGGGGCUUGAACUCAGGACCCUGCGAUCAAGACCUGAGCUGAGACUGAGUCCGAAGCUUACCGACUGAGCCACCCCGGUCGCCCCUGAUAUUCCAGACUUAGAGAUAAAGAAGCCAGGAACCUGGGUAGGCCAAUGAGCACAGACAAAAAAAAGCCCCUGGAACAGCCUGCUCCCUCUAGCCAGAGAAGGACGAAGACUUGAAGACUCUUGAGUUCCCAAGCACCUUUCAUGAUAAGACGCUAAAGAUGAUUGGAAGCACAUGGAUUUCAGAGGAAAACAGAACAUGAUUAACUUCAAAAGGCUUUCGGAUUCCCAAAAUGACUGAGAUCAUCAUGUUAAUGGUGUUAAUCAUUUCUAAUGAACAGAAAAUCUUUUAAUCUUUUAUAAUUUACUAUUUGUUGUAUUUUACUAUUUUAAAAUCAUAU
Mirounga angustirostris (Northern elephant seal) is the source of this 773-nucleotide long non-coding RNA. RefSeq lists it as uncharacterized. The transcript has 3 exons. The record is from RefSeq and is a predicted model, not a curated record. Lineage: Eukaryota; Metazoa; Chordata; Mammalia; Carnivora; Phocidae.